This 500-nucleotide ribosomal RNA is filed under the name uncultured Glomeromycotina. RNAcentral describes it as "partial small subunit ribosomal RNA". It matches the Rfam family "Eukaryotic small subunit ribosomal RNA", at positions 591 to 1092 of the family's 1831-position model. Lineage: Eukaryota; Fungi; Glomeromycota. The record is from RNAcentral.
CCAAUAGCGUAUAUUAAAGUUGUUGCAGUUAAAAAGCUCGUAGUUGAAUUUCGGGAUCAAUAUGUCGGUCGUGCCUCUGGUACGUACUGGUAUCGUUGAUUUCUACCUUCUGACGAACCAUGAUGUCAUUAAUUUGGUGUCAUGGGAAAUCAGGACUGUUACUUUGAAAAAAUUAGAGUGUUUAAAGCAGGCACACGCUUGAAUACAUUAGCAUGGAAUAAUGAAAUAGGACGUUUGAUUCUAUUUUGUUGGUUUCUAGGGUCGACGUAAUGAUUAAUAGGGAUAGUUGGUGGCAUUAGUAUUCAAUUGUCAGAGGUGAAAUUCUUGGAUUUAUUGAAGACUGACUACUGCGAAAGCAUUUGCCAAGGAUGUUUUCAUUAAUCAAGAACGAAAGUUAGGGGAUCGAAGACGAUCAGAUACCGUCGUAGUCUUAACCAUAAACUAUGCCGACUAGGGAGCGGAUGAUGUUAAUUUUUCAAUGACUCAUUCGGCGCCUUACG